CGUAGCUGCGAUGAGGAUAACAAGCUCCCUCUUCUGAAAGCAUUGACGACAUCGCUGGCAGAACCGAACAAUUAAACAUUGCCACCACUGAGCAA
This 95-nucleotide small nucleolar RNA is filed under the name Triticum aestivum (bread wheat). Its description in RNAcentral is "Small nucleolar RNA R30/Z108". It matches the Rfam family "Small nucleolar RNA R30/Z108". From Rfam's summary of the family: snoR30 is a C/D box small nucleolar RNA which acts as a methylation guide for 18S ribosomal RNA in plants. The record is from Rfam by way of RNAcentral. Lineage: Eukaryota; Viridiplantae; Streptophyta; Magnoliopsida; Poales; Poaceae.